CUUGUUCUUUAAAUGAGGACUCGUAUCAACGGCACUACGAGGGCUAUACUGUCUCCUUUUUCUAAUCAGUGAAACUGAUCUCCCCGUGAAGAAGCGGGGAUUAUAAUAUAAGACGAGAAGACCCCAUGGAGCUUUAAACUCACCAUGCACCUCUGUGCUCCCAUACCCCUAAACACAACAGACCUGCAUGUUAGUUUUAGGUUGGGGUGACCACGGAGUACAACUUAACCUCCAUAGCAAACGGGCUGAUACCCUUAUCCACGAGACACAACUCUAAGAAUUACUAAACUAAUGCUUACGACCCGAUAUUCGAUCCAUGAACCAAGUUACCCUGGGGAUAACAGCGCAAUCUACUUCAAGAGCCCAUAUCGACAAGUAG
RNAcentral lists this ribosomal RNA (379 nucleotides) under Rana chensinensis (Chinese brown frog). RNAcentral's name for it is "partial large subunit ribosomal RNA". It matches the Rfam family "Bacterial large subunit ribosomal RNA", at positions 1968 to 2515 of the family's 2925-position model. Lineage: Eukaryota; Metazoa; Chordata; Amphibia; Anura; Ranidae. The record is from RNAcentral.